GCCUCCCUCCGCCCGCCACAUCUGUUCCCUCCCGGCGCGGUUUGCCUGCAGGCCAUUGGUUCUCCGCCCCGCCAGUCCCGCACCCUCCGUCUCCGCGGCCGCCGCUGCGUGAAAUGGGCGUGACCGGACCGAGAGAAGCAGCUUGAGGCAGCUUGAGGGGCUUGUAUCACACGCUCCUCUGCCUACCUGUGGGUAAGAGAAGGUGCUUAGAAUGAGGCAACACAUCAGGCAGAAGCCAUCUGAUCCAUCAAAGGGAAACUUUCACCAUGAUCACAGCCUUUGGGUUCAGCUCUGCUCAAGCCAGAGAGCCAC
Molecule: long non-coding RNA, 312 nt
Organism: Calypte anna (Anna's hummingbird)
Lineage: Eukaryota; Metazoa; Chordata; Aves; Apodiformes; Trochilidae
Exons: 3
Source: RefSeq, a predicted model, not a curated record